RNAcentral lists this ribosomal RNA (252 nucleotides) under uncultured bacterium. RNAcentral's name for it is "partial 16S ribosomal RNA". It matches the Rfam family "Bacterial small subunit ribosomal RNA", at positions 524 to 776 of the family's 1533-position model. The record is from RNAcentral.
UACGGGGGGGGCAAGCGUUGUUCGGAAUUACUGGGCGUAAAGGGCUCGUAGGCGGCCAACUAAGUCAGACGUGAAAUCCCUCGGCUUAACCGGGAACUGCGUCUGAUACUGGAUGGCUAGAGUUUGGGAGAGGGAUGCGGAAUUCCAGGUGUAGCGGUGAAAUGCGUAGAUAUCUGGAGGAACACCGGUGGCGAAGGCGGCAUCCUGGACCAACACUGACGCUGAGGAGCGAAAGCGUGGGGAGCAAACAGG